This 1461-nucleotide long non-coding RNA is filed under the name Oryctolagus cuniculus (rabbit). Its description in RNAcentral is "lncRNA (ENSOCUG00000030593.1)". The record is from RNAcentral. Lineage: Eukaryota; Metazoa; Chordata; Mammalia; Lagomorpha; Leporidae.
GCUGACUUUUAUCAUAUAUCCAAAGUCCAGCCCCUGCAUCUGGUCCAGCCACUGCCCAGGAUAGUGUGGUGACCGUCUGGAGUUUCUGAUUUAUUUGAGAGGCAGAGUGACACAGAGAGAGAGAGAACCUUCCAUCUCUGGUUCACUCCCCAAACGACCAGGCCAGCAGGCAGGAGCGCCAUCCAGGUCUCCCACGCGGGUGGCAGGGGCCCAAACACUCUAACCAGUGGUUGCAUGAGAAGCCGCUGCUGCAGGCAGCAGCUUAGCCCGUCUUCGCGCCACAAUGCUGGCCCUGACCGUCACUAAUUUGAAUCCAGAGGAAUGUGAUCUCUGCCCCCGUAGAUGCAUGAGUCCGUUUGGGGGCUUUCUGGUUUUUUUUUUUUUUUUUUUUUUUUUCUGUUCAUCUUCUCUCGGAAUCUUGCGCAAACACCACCCUCUCUCCGCUCCGAGGGCUGACUCCUGACUUCUGCCUGCACAGGCCGGCUGUCGUCUGCCCUUGAAUGGAUCCCGUCUUUUCUCCCUGCCUAUGAGUUUGCCAGGAUUGCUGUCGCUGGGACGAAGCAUUGCAGCUCACACGGUGGAUGUCACCAUCCAGUGGGUUCUGAAGCCGGCAAGUCCAAGACAGAGGCGUGAGCGGGGCGGGCUCCUGCCGAGAGCUGCGAGGGCAAGCCUACCCCAAUUCCCAGUGACUUCGGCAUCCCCCAGACCAGUGGCCGAGUCCCAGCCCGACUUUUACUGGACUACGCAGAAAUUGCUUGAAAUUGAGUACACACAACAGCAGCUCCUGCAGAGACGCCCGCCAGCGGCUGAGCCCGCCCGCGGCUGAACCCCGGGAGCGCUGGUGGCGGGCGGAGUUUGCGGAGGUGACUGGGGAUCUCCAGGCGGACUGUCACGGUGGACCAGCCAGACGGGACCAGGGAGAUGGGAGGCCUGAGUCUAGUCAGAUGCUCAGGGCUGGCAGCCUCCGGGCGCUGGGCGUCCUCUGCAGCUGCAGACGGCGCUGCUGACCUGCGCCGCUGACCCAAGGAGCCCGUUCUGCACUUCUAGAACUUCCGCGCAUAACCGUGUUGCUCCAAGCCACAGAUGCAAGCCACUGCCGUGGGAUUACCGCGGGCUGGGAAGAGCGCGUGGAAGAGUGGAAUUAAAAGCUUACUUUGGGGGCCAGCGCUGCGGUGGGCUAAGCCUCUGCCUGCAUCCUAUAUGGGCGCUGGUUCGAGUCCCGGCUGCUCCACUUCCCAUCCAGCUCCCUGCUGUGGCCUGGGAAAGCAGUGGAGGAUGGACCAAGUGCUUGGGCCCCUGCACCUGCAUGGGAGACCCAGAGGAAGCUCCUGGAUUCGGAUCAGCGCAGCUCUGGCCGUUGGGGCCAUUUAGGGUGUGAACCAGAGGAUGGAAGACCUCUCUGUGUCUCCCUCUCUGUCUGUAAUUCUACCUCUCAAAUAAAUAAGUACAAUCUUAAAUCCA